GCGUGGAUGAAGAAGGCCCUAGGGUUGUAAAGUCCUUUCACCGCUGAAGAUAAUGACGGUAAGCGGAGAAGAAGCCCCGGCUAAUUUCGUGCCAGCAGCCGCGGUAAUACGAAAGGGGCUAGCGUUGUUCGGAAUUACUGGGCGUAAAGCGCACGUAGGCGGCCGCGCAAGUUAGGGGUGAAAUCCCGGGGCUCAACUCCGGAACUGCCUUUAAAACUGCGUAGCUAGAGGAUGUCAGAGGAUAGUGGAAUUCCGAGUGUAGAGGUGAAAUUCGU
This 275-nucleotide ribosomal RNA is filed under the name uncultured bacterium. RNAcentral's name for it is "partial 16S ribosomal RNA". It matches the Rfam family "Bacterial small subunit ribosomal RNA", at positions 399 to 691 of the family's 1533-position model. The record is from RNAcentral.